Molecule: ribosomal RNA, 497 nt
Filed under: uncultured bacterium
Lineage: Bacteria
Description: partial 16S ribosomal RNA
Rfam family: Bacterial small subunit ribosomal RNA
Source: RNAcentral
AAUGAACGCUGGCGGCGUGCCUAAUACAUGCAAGUCGAACGACCGCACAGUAAGCUUUCUUCUCUGCUGUUAGCGAGUGACGGGUGGGUAACGCAUACAUCACCUUCCUCUAAUUCUUGGGUAACUUCGUAAAACCGCAUCUGCUACCACCUCAUAUUUUGUACCGCAUGGUUCAAAAGUUCUUCACGCUCUUCCUGUCACUUUUAGCUGAAUCCGCGCUGCAUUAUCUAGUUGGUAAGGUAACGGCUUACCAAGGCAACGAUGCAUAGCCGACCUGAGAGGAUGAUCGGCCACACUGGAACUGAGACACGGUCCAGACUCCUACGGGAGGCAGCAGUAGGGAAUCUUCCGCAAUGGGCGAAAGCCUGACGGAGCAACGCCGCGUGAGUGAUGAAGGCCUUCGGAUCGUAAAGCUCUGUUAUUAGGGAAGAAAAGAUGUGUAAGUAACUGUGCAUAUCUUGACGGUACCUAAUGAGAAAGCCACGGCUAACUACGUG